This 324-nucleotide ribosomal RNA is filed under the name uncultured bacterium. Its description in RNAcentral is "bacterial SSU rRNA". It matches the Rfam family "Bacterial small subunit ribosomal RNA", at positions 28 to 334 of the family's 1533-position model. The record is from RNAcentral.
GAUGAACGCUGGCGGCGUGCUUAACACAUGCAAGUCGAACGAAGCGCUUAAACGGAUUUCUUCGGAAUGAAGUUUUUGCGACUGAGUGGCGGACGGGUGAGUAACGCGUGGGUAACCUGCCUCAUACAGGGGGAUAACAGUUAGAAAUGACUGCUAAUACCGCAUAAGCGCACAGUGCUGCAUGGCACAGUGUGAAAAACUCCGGUGGUAUGAGAUGGACCCGCGUCUGAUUAGCUAGUUGGUAAGGUAACGGCUUACCAAGGCGACGAUCAGUAGCCGACCUGAGAGGGUGACCGGCCACAUUGGGACUGAGACACGGCCCAA